UACAGGGGGGGCAAGCGUUGUUCGGAAUUACUGGGCGUAAAGGGUCUGUAGGUGGCCAACUAAGUCAGACGUGAAAUCCCUCGGCUUAACCGGGGAACUGCGUUUGAUACUGGAUGGCUUGAGUUUGGGAGAGGGAUGCGGAAUUCCAGGUGUAGCGGUGAAAUGCGUAGAUAUCUGGAGGAACACCGGUGGCGAAGGCGGCAUCCUGGACCAAUACUGACGCUGAGGAGCGAAAGCUAGGGGAGCAAACGGG
RNAcentral lists this ribosomal RNA (253 nucleotides) under uncultured bacterium. Its description in RNAcentral is "partial 16S ribosomal RNA". It matches the Rfam family "Bacterial small subunit ribosomal RNA", at positions 524 to 776 of the family's 1533-position model. The record is from RNAcentral.